This 493-nucleotide ribosomal RNA is filed under the name uncultured bacterium. RNAcentral describes it as "partial 16S ribosomal RNA". It matches the Rfam family "Bacterial small subunit ribosomal RNA", at positions 30 to 523 of the family's 1533-position model. The record is from RNAcentral.
AUUGAACGCUGGCGGCAUGCUUUACACAUGCAAGUCGAACGGUAACAGGUUAAGCUGACGAGUGGCGAACGGGUGAGUAAUGCAUCGGAACGUGCCCGGUCGUGGGGGAUAACACUUCGGAAGAAGUGCUAAUACCGCAUACGAUCUGAGGAUGAAAGCGGGGGACCGUAAGGCCUCGCGCGAUCGGAGCGGCCGAUGUCAGAUGAGGUAGUUGGUGGGGUAAAGGCUCACCAAGCCGACGAUCUGUAGCUGGUCUGAGAGGACGACCAGCCACACUGGGACUGAGACACGGCCCAGACUCCUACGGGAGGCAGCAGUGGGGAAUUUUGGACAAUGGGCGCAAGCCUGAUCCAGCAAUGCCGCGUGCAGGAAGAAGGCCUUCGGGUUGUAAACUGCUUUUGUACGGAGCGAAAAGGCUCUCUCUAAUACAGGGGGCUCAUGACGGUACCGUAAGAAUAAGCACCGGCUAACUACGUGCCAGCAGCCGCCGUAA